UUGCCCACUUUGGACAAAUGGAAAAUUCGCACUUGCGCAGUGGCAAGCAUGUUCUGCAAGAAACGGAUACAGGCCAACUUAAAUAAAUACCCUGUAUGGAGGACCUUAAAAAAUCUCUGAGGAUGCCUCUGUUUGGAAACCCAUUUAGUCCUAAAAAGGUUCCUCCACGUAAAUCUGCCUCCUUGUCCAGCCUCCACACGUUGGAUCGUUCAACUCGAGAAAUAGAGCUGGGCCUUGAGUAUGGCCCUCCUGUGAUGAACAUUGGAGGUCAGGUCUUGAAAUUUGAAGAGGGACAGUGGAUUACAGAAUCUGGUGGAAAUGUGUCUAGUAGGGAAGUUCAGCGGCUUAAGAAAAAAAAUAUCCAGCUGGAGGAAGAGAAUAACGUAUUAAAACUAAAGAUUGAACUUCUCCUGGAUAUGUUAACGGAGACUACCGUAGAGUAUCACCUGAUGGAGAAAGAAGUGGAAGAUGUCAAGACUCAACAUCGAAGGAAAAAAUGACAGAUCUGAUCUAGUGCCUCCAUUGAAUAAAGCGUUUUCUUCCAAGUAAAUAUUUUUGUAUCGAUAGAUAACAGGACAAAAGUAAUAAUAUAAUCCAUUUUCCUCACAAUGAGGAUUCUUGUGUGUUACAUUUUACUCUUUAUUUUCCACUUACUGUAUGUUUUCUGUUUUUAAUUUGUUGAAUUAUUUCACCUUAAAAACCUUCUUUGUUCAAUACACAGCCAAUUUUCUACACUUUGUACAUCUGUAUGUGAUAUAAAACCUGCUUUUUAAUAUAAUUUUUUUCUAUUUUCUCUUUGGAUUAAAAGUAAACUCCAUUGACAAAAGGCAUUUCUUUUUGUUUGACUUUCGGUUUUUAGAAAAUAACAUUUGUGAAUUGUUGGAUUCAGAGCAGCUCUAAAAAUAUACAGUAACACAAUAGAAAGAAAAAAUUGAGAAAAGUAAGGCUUCAUUCACUAUUACAGCUUUUCAUUCAGCUCCACUUCCAAAUAGAGCAAAACCCUCAUAUACAGUAUGCCUUCCAUAUACUUACUGAGCAACUUUUGGGUGGUCAGAAUUAUUUAUAAGUAUUUUUAAUACAUAGCAUACAGAGCUUCAUUUUUUGUACAUUGUUUUUUUUUAUUUUUUUUAUUUAGCUAACAAACAGAAUAAAAACAUGCUUUUGAAACAGGCUCAAACCCGUGAAAGGAAAAGGGAAACCGGAGGUGUUAGAUUUAAUUCUUUUAUUAGUUUUAAUAGUGCAUAAACCUGCACAAACUCUGAGGCUGUAUCUGUAUGUUGAAUGUCAGCAUCUCCUUCCCAACCGACCAAUAAAGCCUGAUUUAUACGUGAAUUAUGUUAUGUUGUUCAGUCAGUCAUAGGUGUUUAUUGAGCACUGUAUAAAAUUCAAAUAAUCAAAUAUAUGAUUAUGAUUUUAUUUAUUUAUGCAUUAUUAUAUUAUUAAACAGAUAAGCGUUACAUGCCACUUUUAUGAAUGAUUUAAGUCUCUUUAUCCAAUUGGUCAAUGCACCUUUCAAUCAAAUGCGCAGUGCAGCUUAUAGUCCCAAGUGCGCAGGCGUACGUCUCCGCGAGCGAAAGAGGCGUCUGCCAAUAGCGGGAGAGACGAAGUACUUUUUAUUCUUUUCAUCUAGCACUUUAAAUCACCGGCGUUUCGAGUGAACUGUUGUAUUAUUCUUUGACGUUGUGGUGGACUUUUAUAGAACUCACCUAUAACAAUGCCUCGUGGUGGGAAAAAGGGCCACAAGGGCCGCGGGAAGCAGUUCAGCAACCCUGAAGAGAUUGAUCGUCAGAUGAGAGCCCAGCGAGAGAUGG
Haplochromis burtoni (Burton's mouthbrooder) is the source of this 1811-nucleotide RNA transcript. It is a transcript of the gene named chibby homolog 1 (Drosophila), with no coding region annotated. The transcript has 6 exons. NCBI's taxonomy places the organism in Eukaryota, Metazoa, Chordata, Actinopteri, Cichliformes, Cichlidae. The record is from RefSeq and is a predicted model, not a curated record.